AUACGGAGGAUGCGAGCGUUAUCCGGAUUUAUUGGGUUUAAAGGGUGCGUAGGCGGAAAGUUAAGUCAGCGGUGAAACGCAGGUGCUCAACACCUGACCUGCCGUUGAGACUGGUUUUCUAGAAUGCGGAUGCUGUGGGAGGAAUGUGUGGUGUAGCGGUGAAAUGCAUAGAUAUCACACAGAACACCGAUUGCGAAGGCAUCUCACAAAACCGCGAUUGACGCUGAGGCACGAAGGUGCGGGGAUCGAACAGUAUUAGAUACCCUGGUAGUCCGCACAGUAGACGAUGAUAACUCGCUGUCGGCGAUAGACAGUCGGUGGCCAAGCGAAAGCGAUAAGUUAUCCACCUGGGGAGUACGACCGCAAGGUUGAAACUCAAAUGAAUUGACGGGG
This 393-nucleotide ribosomal RNA is filed under the name uncultured bacterium. RNAcentral's name for it is "partial 16S ribosomal RNA". It matches the Rfam family "Bacterial small subunit ribosomal RNA", at positions 523 to 918 of the family's 1533-position model. The record is from RNAcentral.